This 700-nucleotide ribosomal RNA is filed under the name Klebsiella pneumoniae. RNAcentral's name for it is "bacterial SSU rRNA". It matches the Rfam family "Bacterial small subunit ribosomal RNA", at positions 851 to 1533 of the family's 1533-position model. The record is from RNAcentral. Lineage: Bacteria; Pseudomonadati; Pseudomonadota; Gammaproteobacteria; Enterobacterales; Enterobacteriaceae.
GCUAACGCGUUAAAUCGACCGCCUGGGGAGUACGGCCGCAAGGUUAAAACUCAAAUGAAUUGACGGGGGCCCGCACAAGCGGUGGAGCAUGUGGUUUAAUUCGAUGCAACGCGAAGAACCUUACCUGGUCUUGACAUCCACAGAACUUUCCAGAGAUGGAUUGGUGCCUUCGGGAACUGUGAGACAGGUGCUGCAUGGCUGUCGUCAGCUCGUGUUGUGAAAUGUUGGGUUAAGUCCCGCAACGAGCGCAACCCUUAUCCUUUGUUGCCAGCGGUUCGGCCGGGAACUCAAAGGAGACUGCCAGUGAUAAACUGGAGGAAGGUGGGGAUGACGUCAAGUCAUCAUGGCCCUUACGACCAGGGCUACACACGUGCUACAAUGGCAUAUACAAAGAGAAGCGACCUCGCGAGAGCAAGCGGACCUCAUAAAGUAUGUCGUAGUCCGGAUUGGAGUCUGCAACUCGACUCCAUGAAGUCGGAAUCGCUAGUAAUCGUAGAUCAGAAUGCUACGGUGAAUACGUUCCCGGGCCUUGUACACACCGCCCGUCACACCAUGGGAGUGGGUUGCAAAAGAAGUAGGUAGCUUAACCUUCGGGAGGGCGCUUACCACUUUGUGAUUCAUGACUGGGGUGAAGUCGAAAAGGGGGGGACCCAAAACCGACGACAGACCCCGGAGCCGAUUUCUGAGACACCGAGGGAGG